AUGGACUUUGACCUGCUGUUGAGCUCCAGCCCCGAGGCGCAGCUCGCGCUGAUGAACACCAUGCUCCAGCUCGAGCAGGCGCUCAACGACCAGUCGCUGAUGAUGGCGGAGGCGUCGCCGCCGAUAUCGCCCGUGCAGACCCCUUCGCACAGCCUCUCGCCUCCGCCGCACGUGUCCACGGCCUGCGCGGCCGCCGACGCCGGCUAUUUUUACCAUCAGGACCUGCAUGCCCAGGCCGCCCCGGCGGGCUACGCCGGCACCGGCGGCGUGCACCAGGAAUACGUGGUGUCCCCGGGCGCCGCCGUCUUCGACGGCGCCGGCGGCGCGCCGCAGGGUUACUCGUCCCCGUCCUCGUCGGACGCGAUGCGGGAGAUGAUCUUCCACAUCGCGGCGCUGCAGCCGGUGGAGGUCGACCCGGAGGCGGUGCGCCCGCCGAAGCGCCGCAACGUGCGGACCUCCAAGGACCCGCAGAGCGUGGCGGCGAGGCUGCGGCGGGAGCGCAUCAGCGAGCGCAUCCGCGUCCUGCAGCGCCUCGUCCCCGGCGGCACCAAGAUGGACACCGCCUCCAUGCUCGACGAGGCCAUCCACUACGUCAAGUUCCUCAAGUCCCAGGUGCAGUCGCUCGAGCUCGCCGCCGCCGCCACCGGCGCGGCCGCCCACCGCGCCGCUGCCUUCGCCUACCCCGCCAUGCAGCACGCGCCGUGGUAG
RNAcentral lists this ribosomal RNA (708 nucleotides) under Triticum aestivum (bread wheat). RNAcentral's name for it is "partial small subunit ribosomal RNA". Lineage: Eukaryota; Viridiplantae; Streptophyta; Magnoliopsida; Poales; Poaceae. The record is from RNAcentral.